UGGGGAAUAUUGCACAAUGGGCGAAAGCCUGAUGCAGCAACGCCGCGUGAGCGAUGAAGGCCUUUGGGUCGUAAAGCUCUGUCCUUGGGGAAGAAAAAAAUGACGGUACCCUUGGAGGAAGCCCCGGCUAACUACGUGCCAGCAGCCGCGGUAAUACGUAGGGGGCAAGCGUCAUCCGGAAUUAUUGGGCGUAAAGAGUGCGUAGGUGGUUUUGUAAGCGCGGAGUGAAAGGCAAUGGCUCAACUAUUGUAAGCCCUGCGAACUGUGAGACUUGAGUGCAGGAGAGGAAAGCGGAAUUCCUAGUGUAGCGGUGAAAUGCGUAGAUAUUAGGAGGAACACCAGUGGCGAAGGCGGCUUUCUGGACUGUAACUGACACUGAGGCACGAAAGCGUGGGGAGCAAACA
RNAcentral lists this ribosomal RNA (404 nucleotides) under uncultured bacterium. RNAcentral describes it as "bacterial SSU rRNA". It matches the Rfam family "Bacterial small subunit ribosomal RNA", at positions 355 to 774 of the family's 1533-position model. The record is from RNAcentral.